CGCGCAGGCGGCGAUUCAAGUCAGGCGUGAAAGCCCCGGGCUUAACUUGGGAGGUGCGUCUGGGACUGGGUUGCUAGAGAUCGGGAGAGGAGCGUGGAAUUCCCAGUGUAGAGGUGAAAUUCGUAGAUAUUGGGAAGAACACCGGUGGCGAAGGCGGCGCUCUGGACCGAGACUGACGCUGAGGCGCGAAAGCGUGGGGAGCAAAC
Molecule: ribosomal RNA, 206 nt
Filed under: uncultured bacterium
Lineage: Bacteria
Description: partial 16S ribosomal RNA
Rfam family: Bacterial small subunit ribosomal RNA
Source: RNAcentral